AAACACUUCGCGAGAAAAGGAAAGAUUUCGCCUCCGUUUAGUGCUAUGCGACCGCAUGGCACAAUUUAGUGCGGUCGUAUGGUUGUUUCGAAUGCUACCAAAAAAUUCCUUGUUUGGUCCUAUGCGACCGCAAGGGUUGGAAGCUGUGCGGUCGCACAACCUUUGAUUUUGGCUCCGUCUUCGGCUGCAAUUAUCAAGCUAAUCCCAAUAGAAUUAGACUUCGGCCCCUUCAUCAAAUUUACUCCUCGACAUGUGAACUUCAUGGUUUUAGACUCCGUGGCUCGAAUACAUAAGUGAACAAUUUUAUUAGCUACUUCAAAGUCUCGACUUGGCUCGGUUCUUGAC
RNAcentral lists this long non-coding RNA (345 nucleotides) under Olea europaea (common olive). RNAcentral's name for it is "long non-coding RNA (OEUR_LNC009828)". The record is from RNAcentral. Lineage: Eukaryota; Viridiplantae; Streptophyta; Magnoliopsida; Lamiales; Oleaceae.